UCCCCAGUGGCGCAACUGGAUAGCGUGCGGUACUUAUAAUACCGAGAUUGUGAGUUCGAUUCUCACCUGAGAAA
Molecule: transfer RNA, 74 nt
Filed under: Caerostris extrusa
Lineage: Eukaryota; Metazoa; Arthropoda; Arachnida; Araneae; Araneidae
Description: tRNA-Ile
Rfam family: tRNA
About the family: Transfer RNA (tRNA) molecules are approximately 80 nucleotides in length. Their secondary structure includes four short double-helical elements and three loops (D, anti-codon, and T loops).
Source: RNAcentral